CAAAAUCUCAGCAGAUUGAGAAAAUGUUCCAAAGAAUGGCAGUUUUAUAGCUGAUUUUAUACAUUACAAUCAAAGCAGGAGGCCUAAGGAGGGUUACAUGGAAUCCAUUAGUGACAGGUUAGGGAGGAGG
This is a long non-coding RNA of Myotis brandtii (Brandt's bat), 130 nucleotides long. RefSeq lists it as uncharacterized. NCBI's taxonomy places the organism in Eukaryota, Metazoa, Chordata, Mammalia, Chiroptera, Vespertilionidae. The record is from RefSeq and is a predicted model, not a curated record. The transcript is spliced from 3 exons.